RNAcentral lists this unclassified non-coding RNA (552 nucleotides) under Hevea brasiliensis (rubber tree). Lineage: Eukaryota; Viridiplantae; Streptophyta; Magnoliopsida; Malpighiales; Euphorbiaceae. The record is from RNAcentral.
GUCUCAGAAUGGAGAGAAGUUGAAAUAUGGCAGAGUUCCAGAGGAUGUCAAACCAUCAGCUGGCCAAGCUCUUUACAGAUUCAAGGUGGAAACUGCACCAGGAGUGGUUGAGUAUCUUCUUUCAUCACAAGUCUUCUCAUUUAAAAGCGUAUCAAUGGGAAAUGAGGCUUCCUUAGCAACUCUGGCUGAUGAUAGUCGAUCUGUAGUUGAUAAGCAGGCUAUUGUCAAGAUGCCAGAAAGUUCUGGAAGGACCAAAACAAAAUCUCAUCAGGUUGGUAAAGAGCUCCUGUAUGGCCGAGUGUCAGCUGAAGAACUUGUGCAGGCUGUUCAUGAGAUGCUUUCUGCAGCAGGGAUCAACAUGGAUGACGAGAAGCAGUCUCUUCUGCAAAGAACGAUAACUCUGCAGGAACGGUUGAAAGAGUCUCAGGCAGCACUUUUACUUGAACAGGAAAAGUCUGAUGUGGCAGCAAAAGAAGCUGAUACAGCGAAAGCAGCAUGGGUUUGUCGAGUCUGUUUGAGUAAUGAAGUUGACAUGACGAUUGUUCCUUGUGG